Long non-coding RNA from Poecilia latipinna (sailfin molly), 1729 nucleotides. RefSeq lists it as uncharacterized. NCBI's taxonomy places the organism in Eukaryota, Metazoa, Chordata, Actinopteri, Cyprinodontiformes, Poeciliidae. The transcript has 4 exons. The record is from RefSeq and is a predicted model, not a curated record.
AUUAUUAGGUGUCAGGUGGCAAUGGAAAUCGCCUCAUUAUUAUUGGAAACAGCUGUCCAUAUGCUUGCUGUGACAACGUGAAAGAACCUGGCGUUAUUAAGUGUGUGAGCUAGAUGUGUGAUGCAGAAGAGGAAUUUAUCCAGAUGGAGGUGACUGAUUCAUGACUGUCAGCCCAGAAGUGUCAACAUGGUCCCAAUCAACACUAUCAGGAGGAAAUGUGAUCCAGUCGCCACGGCAACCAAGCCCAGCGGUUUCAGGAAUACUCGAGAAAUUAAAAACAAGACGUUAUGUUUUCACCCCAGCAGAGCCUCCAAAGAAAACAACACUGGUGACCAGAGACUCAUCCUGGGCUUGGAGCCACACAUGUAAAGGAGCUGCAGGGGGAGAAAUGGGUGGCAUCUGUUAAACUCCAUGUUUAUGGUUUCACAGAUUUCCCCAUAUCUCUCACUUUAUGGCUGGAGGAGUGUCAAGAUUCCAAUAUUUUCCAAGAUUUUUUUUGUUGAGACUGAAAUCGAUCAGCAGCAUUGCAGUUGCUGGCCUUUAAGUCAGACAUUAGUGGUGUGAUCCAUUCGUCUGACUCAUGUUCCCUCAUUAGAUGCUGAAACCUUUUCUUUCAAUUUUAUUUCACCCUUUUCCAAUUUUCACUUGCCUUUGUUUUGCCCACUCAUUUUAUGCAAUUUUGGUUUCCUAAUCUCUUUGGUGACGCAAGGAAAGAGUGAAUAGGUGGAGCUUUUGGCUUUUCAAACCUAGAUUUUCCUGGAGCAUAUUUGAAAAGAAGACAUGUGUUGCAUUUGCAAAUGGACACAGUCACAUAAAUUUUCAUUAUUGUAGUAUUUUUAUAAAGUACCAAAAAUAGUGUCUGUCUCUUUGAUGCAUAAUUUUUGAUUAUCCCUUAUAACAGGGGCAGUUCUUAUAUAUUUGAUGUUCGUAAAUGUGCUAUACAAAGCAGUCUUUGGUUGUUCCGUGAUCUGCUUUUUAACUACUUAUAUCUACUUGCUCACCUUUACAAAAACGAUUUCUAAACUCUUGCAAAAAGAACAAUACGAAAUCCCAUUCCAUUUAACAAAAGCUGAUUUUUGAAUCUGUAGGGUCUGCAUUGUCUUUCUCAGUGCUUUAGCACAAACAAUGUAACUUUCCUAAACCUGCAAUUUUCCAGAUUGACCAUAAUUGAACUAUUUUGUGGUUUUGAUUUGUAGAGGUCCACCCUGCGGUCGCCUUAGAGAACCAUUAGGAUGGCUGGAUGACUGCGCUCAAGCCCGUCACCCUCAGCAGGGGGCAGCCUUUGUUUCUCCUAAUAAUCAGUUAAGGUCUUCUUCUACCCACGACCACUCAGUUAUCUCUGUCCGUAAUAACACAGCUGCCUGAGAAAUGUGGCAGGAGCCCCCUCGAAGCUCAGCGCUUUUGGUGAAAACGAGCCAGCAGCCGCUCUUUGAAGACAGGCUGCGUGGAGCAUACGACUCUCGAGCCCUCCCAGGGUUUAAUGUCUUAUUAUUUUCCUCAGACAGAAACAAAAUGAACAGUUUUGUCAGCGGGGACGCUGCUGUCUUUGUGUCACUUCCUUUAAACGCACAGCAAGAGGGGAGCAGGAUGAGAAAUGAGGGAAACUGUAGAAAGUCACUUUUGCGUCAUUAGCUGGAAUCUAACAUCUGAGGGUGUUUUCAGAGGAUCAGUCAUGUACUCAAGGCGAAUUAUAUAGGAGAAAGGAUCAGGAUGCUCAAACGUAGAGCCA